GGGGCACCCAGCAUACGAGCACGAACGCUGAACCAUCCCAGAAAAAUCGUCGGUGCCUGUAACAACCGCGUAACAACUGGGCAUGAGCCGACAGAUGGUGUUACAGGUUUAUAAAACCCGAUCCCCAUGUGCCUUCCGCCAUAACCAGGGUUGGGAGCUAGCGCAACCUUGCAUGGAUGAUUACGCUGAAGCACAGCGAUGAGUAGGAGAGAGAGAAUAGAGCCGCUGCGACCACGCCUCGCGUUCACCAUCGCCCAGCCUCUCGAUCGCUGGGGAAUCGGGCGAGAUCACCAAGUCGUGCAGAUCGUGCGUGUGGUCAGCAGAGCAAGGAAGUUGGCGGGGGAGACGAAUUGCUUGCCGGUGCUUGGCCGAAUCCUCACCGGGAAUCCUCGGGCGGCACUACAGCGUCGACCGGCCGCAUCGACGUCUUCUCGAGUGCAGUGAGGACACGAGUUACCUGAAGAUCAUCCUGGUACCUGGAAUCUCAAGUCCCAGGCAAGUUGUGCCCUUGAUCACUUCUUUUUACCCAGUCAUGUUCUGAUUAAUCAUAAUGAUCUGCAUAUGUUAAUUUUGAUGGGACCCAAUAGGUUACCCUAGUUUGAUUAUCUUUAUACCUUGAUUACCACUGGACUUUUUGGGUAGUACCUGCUAUUGCUUUAUGUGGUUUUGGGUAUGAAGAUUACAUUAUUCAUGAUUACACUUUUGUUAUUAGUUGUUAUUUACUAUUCAUGAUAAGAUCAUUAUGUUAAUUGGAACAUGGAGAACCACCCGGGAAAACAGUGCUACCACAAGGGUUUAUGGACGCCCUUGGCUGAUUAACUAGGAAAGCUAGUGGAGGUCUUCCUUACCCGAAAGGGGCAAGGGCAGUAGGGGAGUGGUCAGUGUAGGGAGGUCCUUGGUUGAUUUUGCUGCGAUGGCGGUCAGGCAAGAACCCUGCAUUGGAGCUUCCUAUAAACUGUAGCGGGAUUUCUGAAGCUAGUGGAACUUUGUAAAGGCCUCGUAGUGUUACCCUGCCUCGCCUCCUCGGUAGAGGUGUAUGGGAUUGGCCGUCUCUUGGCAGAUGGGUAACAUGACUUGUGCGUAAAGAUGUGCAACCUCUACGGAGUGUAAAACUGGUAUACUAGCCGUGCUCACGGUCAUGAGCGGCUCGGACACUCACAUGAUUAAAUUAUGGAACUUAAACUCAAUUUGUCAUAUGCAUUGCAUCGCAGGUGAGGUUGUUACUUUUGUUCUACUAAAUUGGGAUGGUAUUUACUUAUACUUAGUAAUUGCUAAUAAAAUUUUGACCAACUUUAAAAGCAAUGCUCAGCUCUAACCAUCCUCUUUGGUAAGCUUACACUUCACGUGAGCUCCCACCUUUGGCGAGUUCAUGCACAUUAUUCCCCACAACUUGUUGAGCGAUGAACGUAUGUGAGCUCACUCUUGCUGUCUCACACCCCCCACAGGUCAAGAACAGGUACCACAGGAUGAGGCGCUUGGAGGAUGCUGUGACGAGUUCGUGAGAGGUCUAGGUCGUCGUCUCCCAGUCAACUUUGGGUUGCUGGACCGUUGUCUCCAUAUAAUGUAUUUAUUUAUUUAUUUUGUACAAAACUCCGAUUAUAUAGUAAAGAUGUGACAUUCGAUCCUGUGCCAUGAUUCAUCAUAUGUGUGAGACUUGGUCCCAGCACACCUGGUGAUUAUGUUCGCGCCCGGGUCUUGGUGCCCCGAAACCCGGGUGUGACAGAAGUGGUAUCAGAGGAAUGUUGACUGUAGGACGUAACCUAGAUAGAACUGGACAACCAUUGUCUACUUACCUUUGCUACUCUGAUUCUUUUCUAAACUUAUCUUAAUCUUUUCUCAUCCAUUUCCGCUUUACUCUGAUUAUUCUUACCUUUUUCUUCUAAAGACAAAUGUGGAUUUCACACUCUGAAAUCCUGUACCUAAAGUGACUUUUAGGAAUAGGAGACUUAAUCUUAGGAACAAAAAAACAAAACUAUUUUUUUAUCUAUACGCUUGAAUGUUUGUUCUUAUGAUAUUUGUCUGAUUUGGAUCUUUGAUUGAGUGUGAUGGGUUGUGGAGUAAUGUCCACAAUUACAUCUGCAUAUACAUAUAGGGAAAAAUGCUUAUAAAAAUAACUAGAUAAACUAGAUUAUCCCUCAUUAAAGGAUCUAGCCAAACAAUAUCCAUCUCAUCUUAAAAGAUUCUAUCCUACACUCGUAGAUCCAUCUUAUCUUAAGAAGAUACUCAUCUUAUCUUGAAAAGAUUUUAUGUCAUGCUAAUAGAUCUAACUGAUCUCAAAUGAUUCUAUCUUAUCUUUAUGGAUCCAUCUUAUCCUAACAAGCAUACUUACCCACCCUAGUUUAACAACCAUGAUCUAAUGCAAAUUAAUUAGAUCUUAUCUAGUCAAACUAGUCAUACCAAUCUAAUCUAGAUCCCAUCUAAUCUAAUAUGAUCUAAUCUAAUGUGGUCUAUUUAAACAGAUUAGUGAUACUGGUAGAAGAGAUUAAACCCUACUAGCCAGGUAUUAACUUAACUUCGCACAUUAGACCAACUCAACCAUGGGCAUAAGAUCUAACCUAGCCAAUAGAGUCUUGAUGGAUUGCAUAAUCUAUCUAUCUCCACCUAACCUCAAACAAACUUUUGACCUACAUCAAUCUCACCCAUAUCUAUCUUAACCAUACCCUGGUAACUCCGAUGAUAAACGCUGACCCCGACUCAAUGAGACCAAGACCAGAAAAGAACAAGAUCAACCUCGUCAAGGAAGGAGAGAAGUCAAACUCGAUCUUCAGAUGCAUUACCACCCAACAAGGAGUCCUUUCUCACCAUAAACUGUCUUACCCCUAGCUAUUGUUUCCCUAACCUAUCCAUCUCUUAUAUCCUACAUAAUAGGUGGCUAGAAACCCAUGCUUUCCUAAAUACCUAUUUAUUUGUAUAAAAAAAACUUUUCAAUAUUGAACUAAAAGACAAUUACAAACAAAACUUUCUACACCUCUUUCUUACAAAUCUCGAGGACGAGAUUUUUGUUAAGGGGGGUAGGAUUUGUAAAGCCCUAAAAUUGCGUAAGAUAAAAAAAUGAUAAAAUAAAUAAAUACAUAUAUAAAAUUGUUUUGGGAACACAGAACCUUGGGAGACUAUCAAUUUAUUUAUCAAUAGGUUAUACCCUUCAUGAACAAUAUAAAUAGAAACCAUCUUUUAAUCAAGCUAAUAGUAAUUAAUGAUAAAGUUUGGACAUUACUUCCUCUAAAAUAAGUAGUAAAUAUGCACUUUUGAAUCGACCUUUAAUUUUACAACACCUUCAAAUAAUAUUUUUCUAAAAGAAAGAUAGCGUGUGUACUUCAUAUUUGAAACAAUUGUCUAAUUAAUAAAUAAAACAAUAAAUGUAAAUAUAUAUCUACAUAUAUUUGCAUUCAUGCGGGAGUUUGAUUGUGCAUUUUUAAGUAUGUGUCAAAUCCAAAACUAAUUUUGAAUUCUAUUCGAAUUUGGAAUUGUAAGUUAAGAAAAUGAUAAAAAUAUAGAUGAAGAGAGAACAAACCGGUUUGACCCAAUCUCACUCACGUGGCCUACAUUCUCUUCUCUCUCCCCAUAACCCGUCUUGUUUCUUUCCAUUUAUAAUUCUUGUACAAACUACUGGUAACUGCCGGGGACGUAUGUUCCUUCCAUGUCAGACACCGACAUGUGGGGCACCCUGCAUACGAGCACGAACGCUGAACCAUCCCAGAAAAAUCGUCGGUGCCUGUAACAACCGCGUAACAACCGGGCAUGAGCCGACAGAUGGCGUUACAGGUUUAUAAAACCCGAUCCCCAUGUGCCUUCCGCCAUAACCAGGCUUGGGAGCUAGCGCAACCUUGCAUGGAUGAUUACGCUGAAGCACAGCGACGAGUAGGAGAGAGAGAAUAGAGCCGCUACGACCACGCCUCGCGUUCACCAUCGCCCAGCCUCUCGAUCGCUGGGGAAUCGGGCGAGAUCACCAAGUCGUGCAGAACGUGCGUGUGGUCAGCAGAGCAAGGAAGUUGGCGGGGGAGACGAAUUGCUUGCCGGUGCUUGGCCGAAUCCUCACCGGGAAUCCUCGGGCGGCACUGCAGCGUCGACCGGCCGCAUCGACGUCUUCUCGAGUGUGAGGACACGAGUUACCUGAAGAUCAUCUUGGUACCUGGAAUCUCAAGUCCCAGGCAAGUUGUGCCCUUGAUCACUUCUUUUUACCCAGUCAUGUUCUGAUUAAUCAUAAUGAUCUGCAUAGGUUAAUUUUGAUGGGACCCAAUAGGUUACCCUAGUUUGAUUAUCUUUAUACCUUGAUUACCACUGACUUUUUGGGUAGCACCUGCUAUUGCUUUAUGUGGUUUUGGGUAUGAAGAUUACAUUAUUCAUGAUUACACUUUUGUUAUUAGUUGUUAUUUACUAUUCAUGAUAAGAUCAUUAUGUUAAUUGGAACAUGGAGAACCACCCGGGAAAACAGUGCUACCACAAGUGUUUAUGGACGCCCUUGGCUGAUUAACUAGGAAAGCUAGUGGAGGUCUUCCUUACCCGAAAGGGGCAAGGGCAGUAGGGGAGUGGUCACUGUAGGGAGGUCCUUGGUUGAUUUUGCUGCGAUGGCGGUCAGGCAAGAACCCUGCAUUGGAGCUUCCUAUAAACUGUAGCGGGAUUUCUGAAGCUAGUGGAACUUUGUAAAGGCCUCGUAGUGUUACCCUGCCUCGCCUCCUCGGUAGAGGUGUAUGGGAUUGGCCGUCUCUUGGCAGAUGGGUAACAUGACUUGUGGGUAAAGAUGUGCAACCUCUGCAGAGUGUAAAACUGGUAUACUAGCCGUGCUCACGGUCAUGAGCGGCUCGGACACUCACAUGAUUAAAUUAUGGAACUUAAACUCAAUUUGUCAUAUGCAUUGCAUCGCAGGUGAGGUUGUUACUUUUGUUCUACUAAAUUGGGCUGGUAUUUACUUAUACUUAGUAAUUGCUAAUAAAAUUUUGACCAACUUUAAAAGCAAUGCUCAGCUCUAACCAUCAUCUUUGGUAAGCCUUACACUUCACGUGAGCUCCCACCUUUGGCGAGUUCAUGCACAUUAUUCCCCACAACUUGUUGAGCGAUGAACGUAUGUGAGCUCACUCUUGCUGUCUCACACCCCCCCCACAGGUCAAGAAUAGGUACCAUAGGAUGAGGCGCUUGGAGGAUGCUGUGACGAGUUCGUGAGAGGUCUAGGUCGUCGUCUCCCAGUCAACUUUGGGUUGCCGGACCGUUGUCUCCAUAUAAUGUAUUUAUUUAUUUAUUUUGUACAAAACUCCAAUUAUAUAGUAAAGAUGUGACAUUCGAUCAUGUGCCAUGAUUCAUCAUAUGUGUGAGACUUGGUCCUAGCACACCUGGUGAUUAUGUUCGCGCCCGGGUCUUGGUGCCCCGAAACCCGGGUGUGACAGAAGUGGUAUCAGAGGAAUGUUGACUGUAGGACGUAACCUAGAUAGAACUGGACAACCAUUGUCUACUUACCUUUGCUACUCUGAUUCUUUUCUAAACUUAUCUUAAUCUUUUCUCAUCCAUUUCUGCUUUACUCUGAUUAUUCUUACCUUUUUCUUAUAAAGACAAAUGUGGAUUUCACACUCUGAAAUCCUGUACCUAAAGUGACUUUUAGGAAUAGGAGACUUAAUCUUAGGAACAAAAAAACAAAACUAUUUUUUUAUCUAUACGCUUGAAUGUUUGUUCUUAUGAUAUUUGUCUGAUUUGGAUCUUUGAUUGAGUGUGAUGGGUUGUGGAGUAAUGUCCACAAUUACAUCUGCAUAUACAUAUAGGGAAAAAUGCUUAUAAAAAUAACUAGAUAAACUAGAUUAUCCCUCAUUAAAGGAUCUAGCCAAACAAUAUCCAUCUCAUCUUAAAAGAUUCUAUCCUACACUCGUAGAUCCAUCUUAUCUUAAGAAGAUACUCAUCUUAUCUUGAAAAGAUUUUAUGUCAUGCUAAUAGAUCUAACUGAUCUCAAAUGAUUCUAUCUUAUCUUUAUGGAUCCAUCUUAUCCUAACAAGCAUACUUAUCCACCCUAGUUUAACAACCAUGAUCUAAUGCAAAUUAAUUAGAUCUUAUCUAGUCAAACUAGUCAUACCAAUCUAAUCUAGAUCCCAUCUAAUCUAAUAUGAUCUAAUCUAAUGUGGUCUAUUUAAACAGAUUAGUGAUACUGGUAGAAGAGAUUAAACCCUACUAGCCAGGUAUUAACUUAACUUCGCACAUUAGACCAACUCAACCAUGGGCAUAAGAUCUAACCUAGCCAAUAGAGUCUUGAUGGAUUGCAUAAUCUAUCUAUCUCCACCUAACCUCAAACAAACUUUUGACCUACAUCAAUCUCACCCAUAUCUAUCUUAACCAUACCCUGGUAACUCCGAUGAUAAACGCUGACCCCAACUCAAUGAGACCAAGACCAGAAAAGAACAAGAUCAACCUCGUCAAGGAAGGAGAGAAGUCAAACUCGAUCUUCAGAUGCAUUACCACCCAACAAGGAGUCCUUUCUCACCAUAAACUGUCUUACCCCUAGCUAUUGUUUCCCUAACCUAUCCAUCUCUUAUAUCCUACAUAAUAGGUGGCUAGAAACCCAUGCUUUCCUAAAUACCUAUUUAUUUGUAUAAAAAAAACUUUUCAAUAUUGAACUAAAAGACAAUUACAAGCAAAACUUUCUACACCUCUUUCUUACAAAUCUCGAGGACGAGAUUUUUGUUAAGGGGGGUAGGAUUUGUAAAGCCCUAAAAUUGCGUAGGAUAAAAAAUGAUAAAAUAAUACAUACAUAUAUAAAAUUGUUUUGGGAACACAGAACCUUGGGAGACUAUCAAUUUAUUUAUCAAUAGGUUAUACCCUUCAUGAACAAUAUAAAUAGAAACCAUCUUUUAAUCAAGCUAAAAGUAAUUAAUGAUAAAGUUUGGACAUUACUUCCUCUAAAAUAAGUAGUAAAUAUGCACUUUUGAAUCGACCUUUAAUUUUACAACACCUUCAAAUAAUAUUUUUCUAAAAGAAAGAUAGCGUGUGUACUUCAUAUUUGAAACAAUUGUCUAAUUAAUAAAUAAAACAAUAAAUGUAAAUAUAUAUCUACAUAUAUUUGCAUUCAUGCGGGAGUUUGAUUGUGCAUUUUUAAGUAUGUGUCAAAUCCAAAACUAAUUUUGAAUUCUAUUCGAAUUUGGAAUUGUAAGUUAAGAAAAUGAUAAAAAUAUAGAUGAAGAGAGAACAAACCGGUUUGACCCAAUCUCACUCACGUGGCCUACAUUCUCUUCUCUCUCCCCAUAACCCGUCUUGUUUCUUUCCAUUUAUAAUUCUUGUACAAACUACUGGUAACAGCCGGGGGACGUAUGUUCCUUCCAUGUCAGACACCGACACGUGGGGCACCCUGCAUACGAGCACGAACGCUGAACCAUCCCAGAAAAAUCGUCGGUGCCUGUAACAACCGCGUAACAACCGGGCAUGAGCCGACAGAUGGCGUUACAGGUUUAUAAAACCCGAUUCCCAUGUGCCUUCCGCCAUAACCAGGCUUGGGAGCUAGCGCAACCUUGCAUGGAUGAUUACGCUGAAGCACAGCGACGAGUAGGAGAGAGAGAAUAGAGCCGCUGCGACCACGCCUCGCGUUCACCAUCUCCCAGCCUCUCGAUCGCUGGGGAAUUGGGCGAGAUCACCAAGUCGUGCAGAUCGUGCGUGUGGUCAGCAGAGCAAGGAAGUUGGCGGGGGAGACGAAUUGCUUGCCGGUGCUUGGCCGAAUCCUCACCGGGAAUCCUCGGGCGGCACUGCAGCGUCGACCGGCCGCAUCGACGUCUUUUCGAGUGGUGAGACCCUACUAAAUUACUCGCCGUAGCAUCCGCAUAGAUGAUCCCCAUUCAAUUUCCGAAUUUAGACCUAGAAAUCGGCAGGGUUGGUUCGCCACCAAUGGCGACGUCGUGCCUUAGCGUUCUGUCGCCGGUCGGGCACCGUGGUGAGAGAGAGAGGAUUGGGGGGGAGAAAAAUGAAGGGCUUGGGCUGUUGGAUCAUACACGGACGGCGCCGAUCUAACCACGCAUACCCCUUCGCUCAAUAGGAUUUGGGCCGUAGAUCUGAGAUCAAGCGAUCAGGAUUUGAUCAUAGUCAUUCUUAAUCUGGACUGACGAUCUUUAAUCCGGUGGUCCUCAUGGCUUACCGGUUCAUUUUUAAUGAAGUCUAAUCCUGGCCGUGGAAUUUAGAUCUGACGGCUGAAGUCAGCCCGUACCCCUUCGGCCGGGGAUAAUUGCAUGUGAGCCCUCAUAAAACUAUCAAAUAAACCCGUCGUCCACUCACGUGGAAAACUAAUUAAAUCUAGGUCCUGAGUUUCACAGUUUAGACCCUGUGUUUUCUAGAAAUUGUGUUCGCAGGCCAGAAUUAAUAGGGAUAUUCAUAAUUAAAUCAGAAAAUGAUUUUUUUUAUAAAAAUAAAUCUAGGAACUUGUUUAAUUCAUAGUUAAUUCAUUUUAGCUCCAGAUUGAGUUAUUCCAGUUGCAAUAAUUUUGUUUUAAUAUUAUCUUUCAUCUAGUGCUUCUGUUUAGCCAUAAAACUUGAAUUAAAAAUGUUCAUUUGAAUUAAUCUAUUCUAGGUGCUUAACAACUCCAGAAAUUCAUAACUUGUUAACCGUAACUCCGAAUUUAGUAAUUCUUGUUCUUAUGAUCUCGUUACGCAGCUUAGAAUAUUAUUAUGUAGUUUGAUCUUAUAUUUGGUGUGAUGUUAAUUUUGCAUAUACAUGUUUGUCUGUAUUGCUACGUUUAGCAAUGAGGACACAAGUUACCUGAAGAUCAUCCUGGUACCUGGAAUCUCAUGUCCCAGGCAAGUUGUGCCCUUGAUCACUUCUUUUUACCCAGUCAUGUUCUGAUUAAUCAUAAUGAUCUGCAUAGGUUAAUUUUGAUGGGACCCAAUAGGUUACCCUAGUUUGAUUAUCUUUAUACCUUGAUUACCACUGGACUUUUUGGGUAGUACCUGCUAUUGCUUUAUGUGGUUUUGGGUAUGAAGAUUACAUUAUUCAUGAUUACACUUUUGUUAUUAGUUGUUAUUUACUAUUCAUGAUAAGAUCAUUAUGUUAAUUGGAACAUGGAGAACCACCCGGGAAAACAGUGCUACCACAAGGGUUUAUGGACGCCCUUGGCUGAUUAACUAGGAAAGCUAGUGGAGGUCUACCUUACCCGAAAGGGGCAAGGGCAGUAGGGGAGUGGUCAGUGUAGGAAGGUCCUUAGUUGAUUUUGCUGCGAUGGCGGUCAGGCAAGAACCCUGCAUUGGAGCUUCCUAUAAACUGUAGCGGGAUUUCUGAAGCUAGUGGACCUUUGUAAAGGCCUCGUAGUGUUACCCUGCCUCGCCUCCUCGGUAGAGGUGUAUGGGAUUGGCCGUCUCUUGGCAGAUGGGUAACAUGACUUGUGGGUAAAGAUGCGCAACCUCUGCAGAGUGUAAAACUGGUAUACUAGCCGUGCUCACGGUCAUGAGCGGCUCGGACACUCACAUGAUUAAAUUAUGGAACUUAAACUCAAUUUGUCAUAUGCAUUGCAUCGCAGGUGAGGUUGUUACUUUUAUUCUACUAAAUUGGGCUGGUAUUUACUUAUACUUAGUAAUUGCUAAUAAAAUUUUGACCAACUUUAAAAGCAAUGCUUAGCUCUAACCAUCCUCUUUGGUAAGCCUUACACUUCACGUGAGCUCCCACCUUUGGCGAGUUCAUGCACAUUAUUCCCCACAACUUGUUGAGCGAUGAACGUAUGUGAGCUCACUCUUGCUGUCUCACACCCCCCCCACAGGUCAAGAACAGGUACCACAGGAUGAGGCGCUUGGAGGAUGCUGUGACAAGUUCGUGAGAGGUCUAGGUCGUCGUCUCCCAGUCAACUUUGGGUUGCUGGACCGUUGUCUCCAUAUAAUGUAUUUAUUUAUUUAUUUUGUACAAAACUCCGAUUAUAUAGUAAAGAUGUGACAUUCGAUCAUGUGCCAUGAUUCAUCAUAUGUGUGAGACUUGGUCCCAGCACACCUGGUGAUUAUGUUCGCGCACGAGUCUUGGUGCCCCGAAACCCGGGUGUAACAAUUACAUAGACGUGGUUGAAAUGUUUCGGUGGUAGGUCGUAGUAUGGUUGUGUUCAUGAUUUUGAGUUAGAGAUUGGUGGUUGACGAUUCGUAUAAAUUGGUUGAUGAUGUGCAUGUGUGAUUAUAUGUGUAAAAAAAUUGUAUUGGUAUGGAUGGAAGUUUGUAGUGAAAGAAAAUGAGUAAGGAACUGGGCUCGGAUGUUUUUAAGUUUUGGUAAGAAUGUAUUUGAUGUGUGGUUUGCUGUGA
This is a long non-coding RNA of Zea mays, 10226 nucleotides long. RefSeq lists it as uncharacterized. The transcript has 3 exons. The record is from RefSeq and is a predicted model, not a curated record. NCBI's taxonomy places the organism in Eukaryota, Viridiplantae, Streptophyta, Magnoliopsida, Poales, Poaceae.